Long non-coding RNA from Canis lupus familiaris (dog), 1921 nucleotides. RefSeq lists it as uncharacterized. The transcript has 3 exons. The record is from RefSeq and is a predicted model, not a curated record. Lineage: Eukaryota; Metazoa; Chordata; Mammalia; Carnivora; Canidae.
UCCCGGUUCUAGAUGGGUGCAGCGGCUGGCCUGAGUAGCCUCUGAGUCGCCCCUCCCCCGCUGUGUCAGGCAGCCCCGGGUGACAGUCUGGCAUCAGCUCUGGUGACGCCUCCUGGCAGGGCUUUGGGCCUCGGCGUCCAACUGAGGCCCAGGAACCCCCAUGGUGCGUGCAUCCUGCCUGGGGUGUCUGUGCGCGCCUGGGGGUGUGGGGAGCGCGGGGCGGCCGCGCCUUCCCGCUGGGGCUGAGCGUGCACGCCGCGGAUGAAUCCUGAACCAGCUGCAGAGCAGAGGGGUCGAAGAAACAGGCAUCUCCACCGAAGGGGCUGCAGGCAGCUCGGCUGACUGCCCCCCCCCCCCAACCGCGCGGCGCGAGGUGGCCCGGGAGCCCCGCCAGGAGCCCCCGCCCCUCAGGCGGAGCUCGGGUCCUGGCAAUCUCUGCACUUUGUCAUCACGCCCCAGUAUUUGACAUUCGCAAUUAUCUGCAAAUACCCUGAUCGGUUUGUAUAUGAAACACUUUUUUUCCUGCCUUAAGGUUGGAAUCUGGUAAGUUUCAGACAAGUGGUUGCGGGGGGGAGGGGACCCGGGGGACCGCGGGGGGACCGGCCCGGUGAACCCGGCUCGGCUAGGUGGGCGACGAGGAGGGACGGAUCUGCGGGCCGCCCCCUCUUCCCCCGGCCCUAAUCAGAUGCAAGGCCACACGGAGCUCAGGAAGGGCCAAGGCCGAGACCCUCGGGUCCUCUUUGGAAAGGGGCGCCCCCUAAUCCCCGUGGGAGAAAAGGUGAGGGGAGAGUGGAGAUCCCACCGGGGCCAGCCCAGGGGUUAAUCAUCUGGAUAAUCGGGAAAGGGCGCUGCCCGGCCUGGUCGCUGUCACCGAGAGUGUCAGUCACCAGCUCUCGACCCGCCGCAGAAAUUACCUGCUCCAAGAGACAUCCCACGGAGCCCUCCGCACUGAGCUGUCCCCGCCCGCUGUCUGCGGGAAGCAAACCGCGCCCUCGUUCAAAAGAAGCGGAUGCCCCUUUGACCCUCCUCCUCCCCCAGACGGUUCCCAAAUCCAGAAGGGCAGUGCCGGCUCGGGAUCGCUCCCAACUCCUACAGCGCAGCUCCAGCUUCCGGGCUACCUGCCUAUUACACAGUCCGUCUACCAAAAGGAAAAAAAAAGUGGUGGUGGAGGCGAGGUAGGAUAAAGGAGUGAAAUUACGUGUCUGCUUUUUCUGCUGCUUUAGGAGCCUGAUCCUGGCCCCUGGCUCAUCCGAAGGGCCUCGAGCCCACACACUGGGAGGCCAGCGCUUCCUGGCGGGGGUGCGGUGCACACAGCCUGGGUGCUCCGGGGCUCCCCGUCUUGCUGGCCACCAAGCCCAGCUACUUUUGCUACGGGGACCCCAGUAACUUGAGAAACACCAAAACGUCCAGGGAAGCCUCCUCACCUCUCACUCAAGUUGCGGCUCUGCUGCAGACACUGGGCUAAGCUGCUUCUCACACAUGAUCACUCACAUUUUCGGGGAAAGUGGGAGGAGGAGCAGGUUAGAGAAAGCGCCCCCAGCCCAAUUCGCCCCGACUGGGAACCCACGGGGUGCUGAACAGACGUCAGCUCUCUCUGCUCCUGCUCAGUCCCCGCGGGCAAGGAAGCGCCAGCGGCUGGAGAAGGUGGUUUCGGUCUCCCGUGGGUGCCCCUGACCCGAGGGGGCACCACACAGCCGAGGCAGCUGAGGUCGCAGCCGAAGUCACCUUCUCUCCGCACAGGAAAAUGCUCGUUCCCCGGGCCGAGCGCUUCCGCCGCGCGCUGAUCCCACCCGCCAAGCCCCGAAGGAGCCGGCGGCGCAGCGGCCCAGGCCCGGCCCCAGCACUGCUCCGGACUCCCGGUAGGGGGAGCCUCCCCGGGCGCGGGGCCAGCCCGGGUCCCGGCCUCCCCGCUCGGCCUCGC